This 492-nucleotide ribosomal RNA is filed under the name uncultured bacterium. RNAcentral's name for it is "partial 16S ribosomal RNA". It matches the Rfam family "Bacterial small subunit ribosomal RNA", at positions 29 to 507 of the family's 1533-position model. The record is from RNAcentral.
AGUGAACGCUGGCGGUAGGCCUAACACAUGCAAGUCGAACGGCAGCACAGUAAGAGCUUGCUCUUACGGGUGGCGAGUGGCGGACGGGUGAGGAAUACAUCGGAAUCUACUUUUUCGUGGGGGAUAACGUAGGGAAACUUACGCUAAUACCGCAUACGACCUACGGGUGAAAGCAGGGGAUCUUCGGACCUUGCGCGAUUGAAUGCGCCGAUGUCGGAUUAGCUAGUUGGCGGGGUAAAGGCCCACCAAGGCGACGAUCCGUAGCUGGUCUGAGAGGAUGAUCAGCCACACUGGAACUGAGACACGGUCCAGACUCCUACGGGAGGCAGCAGUGGGGAAUAUUGGACAAUGGGCGCAAGACUGAUCCAGCCAUACCGCGUGGGUGAAGAAGGCCUUCGGGUUGUAAAGCCCUUUUGUUGGGAAAGAAAAGCAGCAGGUUAAUACCCCGCUGUUCUGACGGUACCCAAAGAAUAAGCACCGGCUAACUUCGUG